Molecule: ribosomal RNA, 77 nt
Filed under: Escherichia coli
Lineage: Bacteria; Pseudomonadati; Pseudomonadota; Gammaproteobacteria; Enterobacterales; Enterobacteriaceae
Description: partial 23S ribosomal RNA
Source: RNAcentral
CCGGGUGUGUAAGCGCAGCGAUGCGUUGAGCUAACUGGUACUAAUGAACCGUGAGGCUUAACCUUACAACGCCGAAG